UACGGGGGGAGCAAGCGUUGUUCGGAUUUACUGGGCGUAAAGGGCGCGUAGGCGGCGCAACAAGUCACUUGUGAAAUCUCCGGGCUUAACCCGGAGCGGCCAAGUGAUACUGUCGUGCUAGAGUGCGGAAGGGGCUACUGGAAUUCUCGGUGUAGCGGUGAAAUGCGUAGAUAUCGAGAGGAAUACCUGCGGCGAAGGCGGGUAGCUGGGCCGACACUGACGCUGAGGCGCGAAAGCCAGGGGAGCGAACGGG
Molecule: ribosomal RNA, 253 nt
Filed under: uncultured bacterium
Lineage: Bacteria
Description: partial 16S ribosomal RNA
Rfam family: Bacterial small subunit ribosomal RNA
Source: RNAcentral